GGAUGUAAGGGUGAUCUGGCUGUGACAUUUGUCACUCCACUGAUUGUCAGGGUUGAUUCAGCUGAGCUGGUUGGCUAGGUGGGUGUCCCCUUCCUCCCUCACCGCUCCAUGUGUGUCCCUCCCAAAGCUGUGUGCUCAGUCAAAGAGGAUGACCACCCAUGCUAAAGGACUGUUUCCUCAGGCAAGGGUAUACAAGUAGCUGUGCUUCCCUGCUAGGACCUCCAAACAGGCUCUCAAUUAUCAGCUGAGUGGCCUGGGCAGUUACUUUGCCCUUCCAUGCCUU
Heterocephalus glaber (naked mole-rat) is the source of this 283-nucleotide non-coding RNA. The record is from Rfam. Lineage: Eukaryota; Metazoa; Chordata; Mammalia; Rodentia; Bathyergidae.